GCUGGGCAUGGUGGCGCAUGCCUGUAGUCCCAACGACUUGGGAGGCUGAGGUGGGAGGAUCACUUGAGCUCAGGAGGUGGAGGCUGCAGUGAGCCAUGAUCAUGCCACUGCACUCUAGCCUGGGCAACAUUGUGAGACCUUGUCUCAG
Molecule: signal recognition particle RNA, 148 nt
Filed under: Gorilla gorilla gorilla (western lowland gorilla)
Lineage: Eukaryota; Metazoa; Chordata; Mammalia; Primates; Hominidae
Description: Metazoan signal recognition particle RNA
Rfam family: Metazoan signal recognition particle RNA
About the family: The signal recognition particle (SRP) is a universally conserved ribonucleoprotein.
Source: Rfam by way of RNAcentral